UACAGAGGUCUCAAGCGUUGUUCAGAUUCAUUGGGCGUAAAGGGUGCGUAGGCGGCGCGGUAAGUCGGGUGUGAAAUCUCGGGGCUUAACUCCGAAACUGCAUUCGAUACUGCCGUGCUUGAGGACUGGAGAGGAGACUGGAAUUUACGGUGUAGCGGUGAAAUGCGUAGAUAUCGGGAGGAACACCAAUGGCGAAGGCAGCUCGCUGGGACGGUACUGACGCUGAGACGCGAAAGCGUGGGGAGCAAACAGG
This 253-nucleotide ribosomal RNA is filed under the name uncultured bacterium. Its description in RNAcentral is "partial 16S ribosomal RNA". It matches the Rfam family "Bacterial small subunit ribosomal RNA", at positions 524 to 776 of the family's 1533-position model. The record is from RNAcentral.